RNAcentral lists this ribosomal RNA (270 nucleotides) under Triticum aestivum (bread wheat). Its description in RNAcentral is "partial small subunit ribosomal RNA". Lineage: Eukaryota; Viridiplantae; Streptophyta; Magnoliopsida; Poales; Poaceae. The record is from RNAcentral.
AUGUCCGCAUCAUCAUCAUCACGCACGACCACCGGCGUCAUUGUCACGCAUGGCUGCCAUCGCCGUUCGCCUCAUCGUCAACUUCGGCCUCAUCUUCUCAGCUGCUCGGCACCGACCUCCGUAGUGGAGGCGCAGGCCCAGCACGGCGUAGGCACGCAUCGCUCCUUCCUCCAGCGUCGGUUGCCGGUGACGGUCUCGGUGGCGGGGGUGCGCUACAACAGCAAGUUACGAAACAACUUCAUCCCGCAACCGAUGGCCGUUCAGAAUUGA